GACGAACGCUGGCGGCGUGCUUAACACAUGCAAGUCGAACGGUAAGGCCCUUCGGGGUACACGAGUGGCGUACGGGAGAGUAAUACGUGGGUGAUCUGCCCUGCACUUGGGGAUAAGCCUGGGAAACUGGGUCUAAUACCCGAUAGGAACCUGGGAUGCAUGUCCUGGGGUGGCAAGUUUGUGCGGUGUGGGAUGGGCCCGCGGCCUGUCAGCGUGUUGGUGGGGUGAUGGCCUACCAAGGCGCCGACGCGUAUCCGGCCUGAGAGGGUGAGCGGCCACACGGGGACUGAGAUACGGCCCAGACUCCUCCAGGAGGCAGUAGUGGGGAAUAUUGCACAAUGGGCGCAAGACUGAUGCAGCGACGCCGCGUGAGGGAUGACGGCCUUCGGGUUGUAAACCUCUUUCAGCACCGACAAAGCGCAAGUGACGGUAGGUGCAGAAGAAGGACCGGCCAACUACGUGCCAGCCGCCGCAGUAA
RNAcentral lists this ribosomal RNA (478 nucleotides) under uncultured bacterium. RNAcentral describes it as "partial 16S ribosomal RNA". It matches the Rfam family "Bacterial small subunit ribosomal RNA", at positions 28 to 523 of the family's 1533-position model. The record is from RNAcentral.